RNAcentral lists this long non-coding RNA (2420 nucleotides) under Cyanoderma ruficeps (rufous-capped babbler). RNAcentral's name for it is "lncRNA (ENSCRFG00000014110.1)". Lineage: Eukaryota; Metazoa; Chordata; Aves; Passeriformes; Timaliidae. The record is from RNAcentral.
ACAAAAGCACUUUCCUAAACCCAUCAGAGCUGUCUGCACUCCCUGGCCUCAGUGCGUGUGGGUGGUGUGGCAGGCUGGGUUGGGGCUGCAGGGGCUGGGGGCUGAAGGUGGGUUGGGGCUGCUGGUGCCUCCAGCUGGCAGAUGGUUGCAGGGGACUGCAGGCUCCAGCUGGGAGGCAUUACCAGCUCCUGCUGCAUCUCCAGUGGAAAGCAGGACGAGUGGUGGAGGGGAAAUGAAAUGGUCAGCAGGGAUGGAGGGAGCACAGGGAGGAGCAGCCGCUCUCAAAAAGGAGUUUGUAGUGAUGGCAAAGCAGUGUGACUCCUUGAUCCUCUGGCUUCUCUUAGGGUAGCAGGAAUCCCCAAGCCAUAAAAAAUGUGGGUCUGGCUCCUGUUUGAUGCGAGGGGACCUCACACGUGAGCUUGUGGAGUAGUGUGUGUCCUGCCCGAGCCCACAGCAUCCUGCCUCUGUUCAGGAGCACCGUGGGUUUGCACGAUUUAAAAUUAACAUCUAGCUUGGGACAGCAUUUCACUUUCUCCAGGCAUCCUGCUCUAGCAGAUGUCUCCAGGCUCUGCGGUCAGAGCCACUUAAGAACUAAGAAAAGCCACAGGACGAUUUCCAGCGGGAAGCGCGGGCGGGAUGCGGAGAGGCUGCCCCUGCGCCCGUGCCCAGCGCGGUUCGGGGCGGCCCCGAGCACUUCCCUUGCCCUCCAGCAGGCUCGGGGGCUUUGCUGCUCCCUGCGCUUUCCCAGCGCUCAAAACGGUUUUGUAAAACUCGGGAACGAACUGCAACAGGGCAGCGCGUUCCCGUCCCGGCUGAGCCACGGUAAGAGCCGCCGUCCCCGUCGGGCAGAACACCCCGGCCAGGCUCGGGGACGCGCACCGGCUCCCCCGGGCUGCGCGCUCCCGGCUCGGGCGGCUCCAUCCCGUCCCCCGCGGCCGCCGAGCAUCCCGGGGCGGGGCGGGCUGGGCUGGGCUGCGCGGCGGGCGGGGGUGGCUCCGGGGCCGCCCCCAUCGCCCGCUUCCUCCCCCGGGCCCCGGCCGGAGCCCGUUGCCCUCCCUGCGGGCGGUAGCGGGGCCGCAUCCCGGGCGUGCGGUCCGGCUGCGCCGCGGGACGGGCCCGAGGGACGGCGGAGCAAGAGGUACCUGGGGACAUCACUUCGAGGUGCUCUGUGCCCGUGUCUGCAGCAGCCUUGGCUGGCAGAGGGUGACUUUGCCCCUCAGAGCAUCGUGAGUGACACUGUGAGAGCUGCCCACACACGUGAGCCUGCAGGUGAUGUGUCCCUUGACAGGCACAUGUUAAGGAUGAAGAAGUCAGUGGUGGUAACACCUCAGGACCGGUGUGGGGGAUCCAUCAGCAGCCUGGAAACAGGAGUGAAAUGAAAUGUGCAUUUAUUGAAUGAAAAUGGAAAUGAAAACCUGAUCCAGACUUACAAAACCAUGAAGGCUCUGAGUCAGAGGAAAGUGUAACCGUCACUCACCUCACCUCUCCAUACAAAAACUAGAAGUUGGCAGUGAAACUCAGGAGUAAUUAAUGGAAAAAGGAUGAAGGGAUGUCCUGCUUCCCUGGGCAGGUAACAAACCUGGACCUUGGUGCUGCCGUAGGCUGCUCAUUUAAAAGGCACUAGGCACAUUCUUGGCCAGCAGGUCUAUAGAUGGAUCCCAAAAGGACUCGCCUGGGAUAUAUCCACUGUCAUAGCUCAUCCCAUAGUUGUGGAUGCCAGGAAUGGGCCAUGGAGCACCCAUGCUCCUGUUUUCUCCCUAAGCAGCCUCUUUGGAGAAGAAGAGCAGAAAAACUGGCAGUUACUGAUGGUUUUUGAGGGUGCUGAAAUCUGCUGGGGACACUCCAAAGGUCAAGACAAGCAUGUCUAGGGCAAGAACAUCCCCAGUCUGUCUUGAACUCUGCUUGACCAUAAAAUGUGUCUGUGGCACUGCCAGGAUAAACUGGCUCUACUCAGAUCAGCGUCUGCCUCCUGCAAGGACUCGUUUCUAGGCUGUAGACUGGAUGUCUCUGUUAUUAAAUGAAUGCAGCAGGUUUCACUUGAGGUCUGCAAAGGUGAUUUGGAGCCCAAACCCCCAUGAGAGAGCAACUUCUCUUCCCAAAGCCAAGUGUGUGUUGGUCCCCAUCAUGUAGGUCUUUACCCCAUGCCAGGACCAGGGUUGGCAGAGCAUCCGAGAGCAGCAGUGGGAGGGUGUCAGGGGAGCGGGAGGAGAUCUGGCCCGGGAGGAAGGAUGCUGUUUACACUGGGUUUGUUGCAAGCCAAUGAUUUGUCACUGGCUUUAAUGGUAGAACAAAGCAUAUUUACUCAGCUUGUUUGGCCGGUGAACAAGUGCUGGAUAAGAAACUGUCAGAUGGGAAUCAAUUAGAGACUUCAUCUCUGAGCGAACGAUCCUAUUUGACAUCAGAUGCUCUGUGAAACCCAG